CGUAGGGUGCGAGCGUUGUCCGGAAUUAUUGGGCGUAAAGAGCUCGUAGGCGGUGUGUCGCGUCGGCCGUGAAAACCUGCAGCUUAACUGUGGGCUUGCGGUCGAUACGGGCAUCACUGGAGUUGGGCAGGGGAGACUGGAAUUCCUGGUGUAGCGGUGAAAUGCGCAGAUAUCAGGAGGAACACCGGUGGCGAAGGCGGGUCUCUGGGCCGAUACUGACGCUGAGGAGCGAAAGCGUGGGGAGCGAACAGGAUUAGAUACCCUGGUAGUCCACGCCGUAAACGUUGGGCGCUAGGUGUGGGGGCCAUUCCACGGUCUCUGUGCCGUAGCUAACGCAUUAAGCGCCCCGCCUGGGGAGUACGGCCGCAAGGCUA
RNAcentral lists this ribosomal RNA (374 nucleotides) under uncultured organism. RNAcentral describes it as "bacterial SSU rRNA". It matches the Rfam family "Bacterial small subunit ribosomal RNA", at positions 526 to 896 of the family's 1533-position model. The record is from RNAcentral.